Molecule: transfer RNA, 62 nt
Filed under: Streptomyces alfalfae
Lineage: Bacteria; Bacillati; Actinomycetota; Actinomycetes; Kitasatosporales; Streptomycetaceae
Description: tRNA-Asn
Rfam family: tRNA
About the family: Transfer RNA (tRNA) molecules are approximately 80 nucleotides in length. Their secondary structure includes four short double-helical elements and three loops (D, anti-codon, and T loops).
Source: RNAcentral
UGUAGCUCAAUUGGCAGAGCAGCCGGCUGUUAACCGGCAGGUUACUGGUUCGAGUCCAGUCG